AUGAUGAUGAUGAAGCAAUACUUUUUAUUCCAACACUUGGACUGAUUUAUACAAGUGAUUAUAUGUAUAUUGCAACUGAAUCACA
This is a small nucleolar RNA of Lycium ferocissimum, 85 nucleotides long. RefSeq annotates it as small nucleolar RNA snoR31. The transcript has a single exon. The record is from RefSeq and is a predicted model, not a curated record. NCBI's taxonomy places the organism in Eukaryota, Viridiplantae, Streptophyta, Magnoliopsida, Solanales, Solanaceae.